CACUGCCGAGAAAAGCCUCUAGAUAGAAAAUAGGUGCCCGUACCGCAAACCGACACAGGUAGUCAAGAUGAGAAUUCUAAGGUGAGCGAGCGAACUCUCGUUAAGGAACUCGGCAAAAUGACCCCGUAACUUCGGGAGAAGGGGUGCUCUUUAGGGUUAACGCCCAGAAGAGCCGCAGUGAAUAGGCCCAAGCGACUGUUUAUCAAAAACACAGGUCUCUGCUAAACCGUAAGGUGAUGUAUAGGGGCUGACGCCUGCCCGGUGCUGGAAGGUUAAGAGGAGUGGUUAGCUUCUGCGAAGCUACGAAUCGAAGCCCCAGUAAACGGCGGCCGUAACUAUAACGGUCCUAAGGUAGCGAAAUUCCUUGUCGGGUAAGUUCCGACCCGCACGAAAGGCGUAACGAUUUGGGCACUGUCUCAACGAGAGACUCGGUGAAAUCAUAGUACCUGUGAAGAUGCAGGUUACCCGCGACAGGACGGAAAGACCCCGUGGAGCUUUACUGUAGCCUGAUAUUGAAAUUCGGCACAGCUUGUACAGGAUAGGUAGGAGCCUUUGAAACGUGAGCGCUAGCUUACGUGGAGGCGCUGGUGGGAUACUACCCUAGCUGUGUUGGCUUUCUAACCCGCACCACUUAUCGUGGUGGGAGACAGUGUCAGGCGGGCAGUUUGACUGGGGCGGUCGCCUCCUAAAAGGUAACGGAGGCGCUCAAAGGUUCCCUCAGAAUGGUUGGAAAUCAUUCAUAGAGUGUAAAGGCAUAAGGGAGCUUGACUGCGAGACCUACAAGUCGAGCAGGGUCGAAAGACGGACUUAGUGAUCCGGUGGUUCCGCAUGGAAGGGCCAUCGCUCAACGGAUAAAAGCUACCCCGGGGAUAACAGGCUUAUCUCCCCCAAGAGUUCACAUCGACGGGGAGGUUUGGCACCUCGAUGUCGGCUCAUCGCAUCCUGGGGCUGUAGUCGGUCCCAAGGGUUGGGCUGUUCGCCCAUUAAAGCGGUACGCGAGCUGGGUUCAGAACGUCGUGAGACAGUUCGGUCCCUAUCCGUCGUGGGCGUAGGAAAUUUGAGAGGAGCUGUCCUUAGUACGAGAGGACCGGGAUGGACAUACCUCUGGUGUACCAGUUGUCGUGCCAACGGCAUAGCUGGGUAGCUAUGUGUGGACGGGAUAAGUGCUGAAAGCAUCUAAGCAUGAAGCCCCCCUCAAGAUGAGAUUUCCCAACUUCGGUUAUAAGAUCCCUCAAAGAUGAUG
This 1243-nucleotide ribosomal RNA is filed under the name Staphylococcus aureus. Its description in RNAcentral is "partial 23S ribosomal RNA". It matches the Rfam family "Bacterial large subunit ribosomal RNA", at positions 1603 to 2849 of the family's 2925-position model. The record is from RNAcentral. Lineage: Bacteria; Bacillati; Bacillota; Bacilli; Caryophanales; Staphylococcaceae.